RNAcentral lists this non-coding RNA (138 nucleotides) under uncultured Venatoribacter sp. RNAcentral describes it as "Moco (molybdenum cofactor) riboswitch". It matches the Rfam family "Molybdenum/Tungsten riboswitch aptamer (Moco RNA motif)", at positions 7 to 125 of the family's 135-position model. The record is from RNAcentral. Lineage: Bacteria; Pseudomonadati; Pseudomonadota; Gammaproteobacteria; Oceanospirillales; Oceanospirillaceae.
AAUUAACGCCGAGCCUGUGCGCCUAACCUGUCUGCUUACGCAGAAUCAUCAGUAUGGCCAGCAGGCCGUGGCUGCUGUAAGCCACCAGGGUUCAGCCGGAAACGGACGGGCCUCCCGUAUUUGGAAAGGUGUCAACGA